GCAGUCGAGCGAACAGACGAAGGAAGCUUGGCUCCUCUGACGUUAGCGGCGGACGAGGUGAGUUAACACGUGGAUAACCUACCUAUAAGACUGGGAUAACUUCGGGAAACCGGAGCUAAUACCGGAUAAUAUAUUGAACCGCAUGGUUCAAUAGUGAAAGACGGUUUUGCUGUCACUUAUAGAUGGAUCCGCGCCGCAUUAGCUAGUUGGUAAGGUAACGGCUUACCAAGGCAACGAUGCGUAGCCGACCUGAGAGGGUGAUCGGCCACACUGGAACUGAGACACGGUCCAGACUCCUACGGGAGGCAGCAGUAGGGAAUCUUCCGCAAUGGGCGAAAGCCUGACGGAGCAACGCCGCGUGAGUGAUGAAGGUCUUCGGAUCGUAAAACUCUGUUAUUAGGGAAGAACAAAUGUGUAAGUAACUAUGCACGUCUUGACGGUACCUAAUCAGAAAGCCACGGCUAACUACGUGCCAGCAGCCGCGGUAAUACGUAGGUGGCAAGCGUUAUCCGGAAUUAUUGGGCGUAAAGCGCGCGUAGGCGGUUUUUUAAGUCUGAUGUGAAAGCCCACGGCUCAACCGUGGAGGGUCAUUGGAAACUGGAAAACUUGAGUGCAGAAGAGGAAAGUGGAAUUCCAUGUGUAGCGGUGAAA
This 651-nucleotide ribosomal RNA is filed under the name Staphylococcus epidermidis. Its description in RNAcentral is "bacterial SSU rRNA". It matches the Rfam family "Bacterial small subunit ribosomal RNA", at positions 57 to 686 of the family's 1533-position model. The record is from RNAcentral. Lineage: Bacteria; Bacillati; Bacillota; Bacilli; Caryophanales; Staphylococcaceae.